GCCGAAAUAGCUCAGUUGGCAGAGCAACGCAUUCGUAAUGCGUAGGUCGCGGGUUCGAGUCCCGCCUUCGGCU
This 73-nucleotide transfer RNA is filed under the name Bacteroidales bacterium. Its description in RNAcentral is "tRNA-Thr". It matches the Rfam family "tRNA". Rfam says of the family: Transfer RNA (tRNA) molecules are approximately 80 nucleotides in length. Their secondary structure includes four short double-helical elements and three loops (D, anti-codon, and T loops). RNAcentral also lists the same sequence under 1 other name. The record is from RNAcentral. Lineage: Bacteria; Pseudomonadati; Bacteroidota; Bacteroidia; Bacteroidales.